Molecule: long non-coding RNA, 2293 nt
Filed under: Ananas comosus (pineapple)
Lineage: Eukaryota; Viridiplantae; Streptophyta; Magnoliopsida; Poales; Bromeliaceae
Description: long non-coding RNA (ACOM_LNC020201)
Source: RNAcentral
UAAAUUUAAAAUUAGAUAUUUAAAAUUAAAAUUUUGAGAAUUAAAAUUUUAAAUCUAAUUUCAAAAUUUAUAAUUUAAAAGUUAAGAUUUUCAAUUUAAAAUUUUCAGUUUAAAAAUUUAAAUUCAAUUAUAGGGAUAAUAUCAUUAUUUUCUAUUUAUAAUUACUAACUAUUCCACCUUAUACUCACAUUUUCACCCAAACACAAUUUUUCUAGUUCCAGCUUAUACUCACAUUGUCAUCCAAAAAAAAAAAAAAAACCCAUAUUUCUACGAAAACCCAUAUUUGUAUCUAUUCCCGGUAUAACUAGUUCUUGCUUAUACCCGAACCAAACGAAGCCUUAGAGUAUACCGGUAGCAUUGCUUUCUGUAAACACAAUUUUUUCACUUUCUCUCUCUAACUUUUAAAAAACUAUAUUAAUGAAGAGGGCGAAAUAAUCAAAUUAUCCUUAUUUGUUAGAAAAAACUAAUAUAUUUCUGUCAUUUUUUAAGAACGUUUUUAGUAUAAAUUAUAAAAAAAACUAACAGAAUAAUGAUGGAACCGUAACAUAGAGAGGCUAAAUGCAUCAAAUUAAAAUUUUAAGAGGGUUUAAUAUAGGUUAAUGAAAAUCAAGGUAUGUAAUCUUUACCAUUCAAAUUCUACUCCCAUAUAUUUAGAUAUCAUCGUAGAUUUUCUCAAAAGUCAUUAAUAUCGUAAUAAUCGCGUGUGAAGGGAAAUGAUGCGGGCAUAGAUGCAAUGCUUUAGAGGUCGCUCAAGUUAUGGAUGGCAAUGUAGUUUAGGGCCUGUUUGGCCUAGAUUCUGGAAAAGUGAUAUCUACAGAAAUGAUUUUAGUUUGGAAAAUUGAUUUUGGUGAAAAACUGUAGAGCGUUUGGCUGAGUUUAAAUAAAAGUAAUUUUUCUAAAGUGAUUUUCUAAAACUGUUUGGCAAAAAAUUUUUGAUGCUUGCAUAUAUUAAUAUUUUUACUAAAUUUUAUUUUAAAAUAAUUUUAAAUUUGAAUUUAAAUUAAAAUUUUAAAUUUGAAUUAAAAGUAUAAUUUUUAAAUUUCAAAUUUACAAAAAAUAAGAUGACCUCUAGGUAGGUUUUUUUUUUUAGAGAGAAAGAUAGCAUGCUACCGCUUCAUUUAAUUCUUUUUAAAAUAAACUUAGCUUUGUUGAAUCGUUGGCGCUAACCAUUAAUCCCAAAAGCUAGAGCUGUUAGAAAUACGCAACCAAUUUACUUAAAGUGUAUAGAUACAACGCCCACGGAUCUUGAUUGUGACUCGGCCCAACCAGCAUCACGCCAUUUCGAAUAUGACUCGGCCCACCCAACCUCAUGCUAUUUCAAACAAAACUCGGCCCAACAUGACCUCCCACUACAGAGCAGGAUGCUGGCUCAUUUAAACCAACAAACUAGAACUUUGAAUCAACUGAAAUUUGAAUUUAGAAUCUCAAAUAUUAACCACCAAAUCUUUUACUACUUACGCUAAGGACGGUCAGUGACCUCCAGGCAGAUUGGCUAGGAGUAGAAAAGCGGCAACGUGGAAGUAGAGCAAAUGAAAGGACAGAAACAAAACUAUUGAUGCCCAUAAAAAAAACAAAGACUUAAUUGCAUCCGUACAUACUGUACUCUAAAAUCUUUUUCAACUGGCCCACAAUACUUAAGUCCAACAAUGUCGUCAAUAGAGUUAGCCUUUAAAAUGAAAACUUGUAGCUCCAUCAAUGGAGCAUGGUCAUAGUUAACAGAGAAGGUGGCCCCGACUAGAGCUCAUCUGGGAGGAAAAGAAUGGAAAGUUGCUUUAUCUUUUGGGUAGAUGUAAUUAUAAAUACAGUAUAGUUGAAGAUAUAUGUAGUUGAAAAUGCUGUAGUUACAACUAUAUGAAUCUUGUUUGGCUGGAUGUAGUAAAAAGCGUCGUAACUAUAAAUAAUUUGUUUGGUUGCAUGCAGUAAAGAAGUAACUUUUAAAAUUUUAUCAUUAUAUAUAUAUGAUAAUGAAAUUACCUCCAACAUAAAAUAAAAAAUUAUAUUUUUUGUUUAAAAAAUAAUUAAGAAGGUAAAAGCUUACAUUUUGUUUAAAGUUACUCUCUCCGACUGCUACAGCUGAAACUACGAUCAAUUUGGUUGUAGUUCCAACUGCUGCAGUCGGACUUCCUCCUGCAGUUCCUACUGCUGCAGUUGGAGUUAAAUACAUAAAAUCAAACAGUGAAUUUGCAUUUACAUACAGUUACAACUAUUGUAUAGUUGUAAAUACAUGCAACCAAACUCAUGUUCUCAUGUUCUUUAAAUGCCCCAAAUAUCUUGUUUCUCAUCUAUCAAUUUU